UCUCUCUGCCUCUGACGUAGCCCAGUAUGAUGUGAUUCUAAUUGGAGAUAAAGCCCCCCUCUCUCAAAUUAUUCGAAUCAAUAGUCUUACACACUCAGAAAAUAAGAUCUUUUUGUGUGGAGGAGUAAGAGGAAUCUACGGUUUUUAUUUUAGUGAUGUGGGUAGUAGUUACACA
Molecule: non-coding RNA, 175 nt
Filed under: Paramoeba aestuarina
Lineage: Eukaryota; Discosea; Flabellinia; Dactylopodida; Paramoebidae
Source: RNAcentral